Molecule: unclassified non-coding RNA, 172 nt
Filed under: uncultured Orbiliaceae
Lineage: Eukaryota; Fungi; Ascomycota; Orbiliomycetes; Orbiliales
Description: sequence contains ITS2
Source: RNAcentral
CAACCCUCGGUCACCACCGGUUUUGAGCAAGCGGGGACCCCUCGGGGCCCGGCCGGCUUUAAAGUUGUAAGCUCUGCUGGCCGCUCCGCCUCGCUAGAACAUAGUAAAACCUACUUGUUCGCGGUCGAGGUCGGAAGCGGUACGGCCUGAACAAAACCUACCCAACUCUAAG